GUGGACAGGUCCUAGUGACCAGCGAGUGCCCACCAGACUUAACAGCAACAAGAGAUGUUACGCCGAGGAGCCGCUGGACGGCACUGAGGUGUCGCUGAUACUGGAGGGCGUGGAGCAGCAGGACGCGGGGCCCUACACAUGCCACGCUACCAUCAACGGCCGCACCACCACACGCAGCUUCCUCCUACACGUCCACAAGACCGUAGAGUUCACCGGCACACCGCAGCACCAG
This is a long non-coding RNA of Hyalella azteca, 232 nucleotides long. RefSeq lists it as uncharacterized. The record is from RefSeq and is a predicted model, not a curated record. The transcript is spliced from 4 exons. NCBI's taxonomy places the organism in Eukaryota, Metazoa, Arthropoda, Malacostraca, Amphipoda, Hyalellidae.